UACGUAGGCAGCAAGCGUUGUUCGGAGUUACUGGGCGUAAAGAGCGCGCAGGCGGUUGUGCAAGUCGCGUGUGAAAGCCCCCGGCUCAACUGGGGAGGGUCACGCGAUACUGCUCGACUCGAAGGCAGGAGAGGGAAGUGGAAUUCCCGGUGUAGUGGUGAAAUGCGUAGAUAUCGGGAGGAACACCAGUGGCGAAGGCGACUUCCUGGCCUGUUCUUGACGCUGAGGCGCGAAAGCUAGGGUAGCAAACGGG
RNAcentral lists this ribosomal RNA (253 nucleotides) under uncultured bacterium. RNAcentral describes it as "partial 16S ribosomal RNA". It matches the Rfam family "Bacterial small subunit ribosomal RNA", at positions 524 to 776 of the family's 1533-position model. The record is from RNAcentral.